RNAcentral lists this ribosomal RNA (1008 nucleotides) under Triticum aestivum (bread wheat). RNAcentral describes it as "partial small subunit ribosomal RNA". The record is from RNAcentral. Lineage: Eukaryota; Viridiplantae; Streptophyta; Magnoliopsida; Poales; Poaceae.
AUGGGUAGAUCCAAUGCUAAUCAUGUUUGGAGCAAGAUCUGGAAGCUAUCUUGUCCGGCAAAGGUAAAAAUCUUCAUCUGGCGUACAUUGCAUGGAACACUCCCAUGUCGUGUUACGCUCGCCAAUAGACAUGUGAAGGUCCCUCCCAUCUGCCCAACAUGUUCAAAAGGGCUAGAAGACACGAAACACGUCUUGUUUCUGUGUCAGAAGGCGAAAAAGGUCUGGGAUAAUUUGGGUUUGUAUGAGGUGAUCAAUAGAGCAUGUGUUGUUGACCGGGCAGGAGAGGCAGUUCUUGAAUUUUUAUUACUUAUGCCAGAGGAAGAAAUAUCUGUUUUGGGACUCCAGAAUGCACGUAAAUUGAUCGUUAUAACAGCUUGGUAUUUAUUGUGGGAUAGACGUAAACUGGUUCAUGAAGGAAAGUCUCAAGAUGCAUAUCAAUCUGCUAUGGGGCGUGCUAUAGCGGCAAAUUAUGUUAAAGCAAACUCCCCUAAGGCGAUCAGUAAGAAAGGGGGAUGGCUUAGACCUCCUAUGGGUUUUGUGAAACUAAACGUUGAUGCUUCUUUUGACCAUGAUCUGCUUAGAGGCAUGGCGGGGGCAGUCCUGAGAGAUGACAAAGGAAGGUUCAUUGUUGGCGGAAGUUGGCGACUUGAUUGGUGUGCGGAUGUUCUAACGGCAGAAGCAUUGGCACUGAGGUUUGGCCUUACCCUAGCACAGAAGGCGGGGUGCAACCGCCUUAUUGUUAACUCUGAUAAUAUGGAAGUGAUUGACACGAUGAAGAAUGGAGGACAAUCGGCGGGAGCGGCGACGGCAGUGUUCGAUGAUUGCUAUUUCAUGGCUUGCGAUUUUACUAUUACUAGAUUUGAACAUUGUAAUAGGGAAGCAAAUAAAGUUGCUUAUGAAAUUGCUAGGGUAGCAAAAUAUUCAGCGACUAGGGAUUGGUUUGAGGAGCCCAUGGUUGAUAUUGUAACUCUUCUUAUUGAUGAUGUAACUGUUAUUUCUAAUCAAUAA